GGGCCCGUAGCUUAGCAUGGUGGAGCGUUCGGCUGAUAACCGAAAGGUCGCCGGUUCAAAUCCGGUCGGGCCCA
RNAcentral lists this transfer RNA (74 nucleotides) under Methermicoccus shengliensis. RNAcentral's name for it is "tRNA-Ile". It matches the Rfam family "tRNA". From Rfam's summary of the family: Transfer RNA (tRNA) molecules are approximately 80 nucleotides in length. Their secondary structure includes four short double-helical elements and three loops (D, anti-codon, and T loops). The record is from RNAcentral. Lineage: Archaea; Methanobacteriati; Methanobacteriota; Methanomicrobia; Methanosarcinales; Methermicoccaceae.